Molecule: transfer RNA, 77 nt
Filed under: Cordylochernes scorpioides
Lineage: Eukaryota; Metazoa; Arthropoda; Arachnida; Pseudoscorpiones; Chernetidae
Description: tRNA-Gly
Rfam family: tRNA (bases 13-68)
About the family: Transfer RNA (tRNA) molecules are approximately 80 nucleotides in length. Their secondary structure includes four short double-helical elements and three loops (D, anti-codon, and T loops).
Source: RNAcentral
ACCGUUUGCCUUUGGUUCAGUGGUAGAAUGCUCGCCUGCCACGCGGGCGCCCCGGGUUCGAUUCCCAGCCGAUGGUU